UUUCGACCUGAGGUCAGGCAAGAACACCCGC
This 31-nucleotide ribosomal RNA is filed under the name Trebouxia suecica. RNAcentral describes it as "partial large subunit ribosomal RNA". The record is from RNAcentral. Lineage: Eukaryota; Viridiplantae; Chlorophyta; Trebouxiophyceae; Trebouxiales; Trebouxiaceae. RNAcentral also lists the same sequence under 1 other name.